CCCUUAGAUGUCCUGGGCCGCACGCGCGCUACACUGAUGCAUGCAACGAGUUUAUAACCUUGGCCUGAAAGGUCUGGGUAAUCUUUUGAACGUGCAUCGUGAUAGGGAUAGAUUAUUGCAAUUGUUAAUCUUGAACUAGGAAUUCCUAGUAAACGCGAGUCAUCAGCUCGCAUUGAUUACGUCCCUGCCCUUUGUACACACCGCCCGUCGCACCUACCGAUUGAAUGGUUCGGUGAAGAUCUCGGACUUCGAUAUUUAUUCUUUAUUGAGUUUAUAUUGUGGGAAGUUAUCUAAACCUCAUCAUUUAGAGGAAGGUGAAGUCGUAACA
RNAcentral lists this ribosomal RNA (328 nucleotides) under uncultured eukaryote. RNAcentral describes it as "partial 18S ribosomal RNA". It matches the Rfam family "Eukaryotic small subunit ribosomal RNA", at positions 1470 to 1796 of the family's 1831-position model. The record is from RNAcentral.